Molecule: ribosomal RNA, 436 nt
Filed under: uncultured bacterium
Lineage: Bacteria
Description: partial 16S ribosomal RNA
Rfam family: Bacterial small subunit ribosomal RNA
Source: RNAcentral
AACGAACGCUGGCGGCAUGCCUAGCACAUGCAAGUCGAACGAGAUCCUUCGGGGUCUAGUGGCGCACGGGUGCGUAACGCGUGGGAAUCUGCCCUUAGGUUCGGAAUAACAGUUAGAAAUGACUGCUAAUACCGGAUGAUGACGUUAAGUCCAAAGAUUUAUCGCCUGAGGAUGAGCCCGCGUAGGAUUAGCUAGUUGGUGUGGUAAAGGCGCACCAAGGCGACGAUCCUUAGCUGGUCUGAGAGGAUGAUCAGCCACACUGGGACUGAGACACGGCCCAGACUCCUACGGGAGGCAGCAGUGGGGAAUAUUGGACAAUGGGCGCAAGCCUGAUCCAGCAAUGCCGCGUGAGUGAUGAAGGCCUUAGGGUUGUAAAGCUCUUUUACCCGGGAUGAUAAUGACAGUACCGGGAGAAUAAGCCCCGGCUAACUCCGUG